This 76-nucleotide transfer RNA is filed under the name Chloroflexota bacterium. RNAcentral's name for it is "Chloroflexi bacterium tRNA-Ala". It matches the Rfam family "tRNA". Rfam says of the family: Transfer RNA (tRNA) molecules are approximately 80 nucleotides in length. Their secondary structure includes four short double-helical elements and three loops (D, anti-codon, and T loops). The record is from RNAcentral. Lineage: Bacteria; Bacillati; Chloroflexota. RNAcentral also lists the same sequence under 6 other names.
GGGGCCGUGGCGCAGCUGGGAGCGCGAUUGCAUGGCAUGCAAUAGGUCACGAGUUCGAAUCUCGUCGGCUCCACCA